This 199-nucleotide ribosomal RNA is filed under the name uncultured bacterium. RNAcentral describes it as "partial 16S ribosomal RNA". It matches the Rfam family "Bacterial small subunit ribosomal RNA", at positions 336 to 527 of the family's 1533-position model. The record is from RNAcentral.
UUCCUACGGGAGGCAGCAGUGGGGAAUAUUGGACAAUGGGCGAAAGCCUGAUCCAGCCAUGCCGCGUGUGUGAAGAAGGUCUUCGGAUUGUAAAGCACUUUAAGUUGGGAGGAAGGGCAGUUACCUAAUACGUGAUUGUUUUGACGUUACCGACAGAAUAAGCACCGGCUAACUCUGUGCCAGCAGCCGCGGUAAUACA